AAACCAUGUUCUGGACACUUCUCUAAGAGGUCCUUGAAUUGCUCCCAUGUCUCAAACAAGUGUUCAAGCUCCAUCUGAACAAAUGAUGAUAUUUCAUUAUGAAGCUU
Dioscorea cayenensis subsp. rotundata (Guinea yam) is the source of this 107-nucleotide small nucleolar RNA. Lineage: Eukaryota; Viridiplantae; Streptophyta; Magnoliopsida; Dioscoreales; Dioscoreaceae. The record is from RefSeq and is a predicted model, not a curated record.